AUUGAACGCUGGCGGCAGGCCUAACACAUGCAAGUCGAGAGAGCGGCGGACGGGUGAGAGAUGUCUGGGAAACUGCCUGAUGGAGGGGGAUCACUACUGGAAACGGUAGCUAAUACCGCAUAACAUCAGAUGUGACAAGAUGGGAUUAGCUAGUAGGUGGGGUAAUGGCUCACCUAGGCGACGAUCCAUAGCCGGUCUGAGAGGAUGACCAGCCACACUGGAACUGAGACACGGUCCAGACUCCUACGGGAGGCAGCAGUGGGGAAUAUUGCACAAUGGGCGCAAGCCUGAUACAGCCAUGCCGCGUGUAUGAAGAAGGCCUUCGGGUUGUAAAGUACUUUCAGCGAGGAGGCGUUACUCGCAGAAGAAGCACCGGCUAACUCCGUGCCAGCAGCCGCGGUAAUUC
Molecule: ribosomal RNA, 406 nt
Filed under: uncultured bacterium
Lineage: Bacteria
Description: partial 16S ribosomal RNA
Rfam family: Bacterial small subunit ribosomal RNA
Source: RNAcentral